Molecule: transfer RNA, 72 nt
Filed under: Polyangiaceae bacterium
Lineage: Bacteria; Pseudomonadati; Myxococcota; Polyangiales; Polyangiaceae
Rfam family: tRNA
About the family: Transfer RNA (tRNA) molecules are approximately 80 nucleotides in length. Their secondary structure includes four short double-helical elements and three loops (D, anti-codon, and T loops).
Source: Rfam by way of RNAcentral
UCCGAUGUAGCUCAAUGGCAGAGCACCUGGCUGUUAACCAGGGAGUUGAAGGUUCGACCCCUUCCGUCGGAG